GAGACACCCCUAUGGAGCAGGACUUGCUUCAGUGGGGCUUUGGUGCUCACUGAGUCUGCACCUGAAGUGUGGCACU
Non-coding RNA from Myotis lucifugus (little brown bat), 76 nucleotides. The record is from Rfam. NCBI's taxonomy places the organism in Eukaryota, Metazoa, Chordata, Mammalia, Chiroptera, Vespertilionidae.